RNAcentral lists this ribosomal RNA (508 nucleotides) under uncultured bacterium. RNAcentral describes it as "partial 16S ribosomal RNA". It matches the Rfam family "Bacterial small subunit ribosomal RNA", at positions 28 to 523 of the family's 1533-position model. The record is from RNAcentral.
GAUGAACGCUAGCUACAGGCUUAACACAUGCAAGUCGAGGGGAAACGAUAGAGAAAGCUUGCUUUUUCUAGGCGUCGACCGGCGCACGGGUGAGUAACGCGUAUCCAACCUGCCCAUCACUUUGGGAUAACCUUGCGAAAGUAAGACUAAUACCCAAUGAUAUCUCUAGAAGACAUCUGAAGGAGAUUAAAGAUUUAUCGGUGAAGGAUGGGGAUGCGUCUGAUUAGCUUGUUGGCGGGGUAACGGCCCACCAAGGCGACGAUCAGUAGGGGUUCUGAGAGGAAGGUCCCCCACAUUGGAGCUGAGACACGGUCCGAACUCCUACGGGAGGCAGCAGUGAGGAAUAUUGGUCAAUGGACGAGAGUCUGAACCAGCCAAGUAGCGUGCAGGAUGACGGCCCUAUGGGUUGUAAACUGCUUUUAUAAGGGAAUAAAGUGAGUCUCGUGAGACUUUUUGCAUGUACCUUAUGAAUAAGGACCGGCUAAUUCCGUGCCAGCAGCCGCAGUAA